RNAcentral lists this ribosomal RNA (497 nucleotides) under uncultured bacterium. RNAcentral describes it as "partial 16S ribosomal RNA". It matches the Rfam family "Bacterial small subunit ribosomal RNA", at positions 28 to 507 of the family's 1533-position model. The record is from RNAcentral.
GAUGAACGCUGGCGGCGUGCCUAAUACAUGCAAGUCGAGCGAACAGACGAGGAGCUUGCUCCUUUGACGUUAGCGGCGGACGGGUGAGUAACACGUGGAUAACCUACCUAUAAGACUGGGAUAACUUCGGGAAACCGGAGCUAAUACCGGAUAACAUGUUGAACCGCAUGGUUCAACAGUGAAAGACGGUCUUGCUGUCACUUAUAGAUGGAUCCGCGCCGCAUUAGCUAGUUGGUAAGGUAACGGGUUACCAAGGCAACGAUGCGUAGCCGACCUGAGAGGGUGAUCGGCCACACUGGAACUGAGACACGGUCCAGACUCCUACGGGAGGCAGCAGUAGGGAAUCUUCCGCAAAGGGCGAAAGCCUGACGGAGCAACGCCGCGUGAGUGAAGAAGGUCUUCGGAUCGUAAAACUCUGUUAUUAGGGAAGAACAAAUGUGUAAGUAACUAUGCACGUCUUGACGGUACCUAAUCAGAAAGCCACGGCUAACUACGUG